Molecule: ribosomal RNA, 301 nt
Filed under: uncultured bacterium
Lineage: Bacteria
Description: partial 16S ribosomal RNA
Rfam family: Bacterial small subunit ribosomal RNA
Source: RNAcentral
CAGUAGCCACGGUAAUACGUAGGUGGCAAGCGUUGUCCGGAAUUAUUGGGCGUAAAGCGCGCGCAGGCGGAUAGGUCAGUCUGUCUUAAAAGUUCGGGGCCUAACCCCGUGACGGGAUGGAAACUGCCAAUCUAGAGUAUCGGAGAGGAAAGUGGAAUUCCUAGUGUAGCGGUGAAAUGUGUAGAUAUUAGGAAGAACACCAGUGGCGAAGGCGACUUUCUGGACGAAAACUAACGCUGAGGCGCGAAAGCCAGGGGAGCGAACGGGAUUAGAGACCCCGGUAGUCCCUGUCUCUUAUACA